Molecule: long non-coding RNA, 1166 nt
Organism: Oreochromis aureus
Lineage: Eukaryota; Metazoa; Chordata; Actinopteri; Cichliformes; Cichlidae
Exons: 2
Source: RefSeq, a predicted model, not a curated record
CAGCAGAGAGGAGCUGAGCCCUGCACAGACUGCUGAGGCGCACAUUCUCCGCGUCCACGGUGCGCGCUCCAGCGCGCAACCACUGAACUUCCUGAACCAGAUUGGCUUCGUUGCCCUUUCUCGGUUACUAAAUAUUAGUGAGGAUGUGGCCUGAGCAGAGAGUCCAAUGUGCUGUGAGGAGUCCCGUGUGUCACGUUCGUGGGAUCUUUCUGCUUCUCCUGCUUGUCAUGGUUCAAAUGAUGAUCUCCUUGGUGCCUUUUGAUGGUGUGUUCAUUCGCUCCGAUAAAGUCCUCAUCAGCCCCUACAGAUUCUGUCAGAUCCAACAAACUGGUGAAUGGUCCUGUGAUAAUGUGCAUAAGAGUCACCUGUACGAGCUAUCGCAAUCCCAAGGAGCUGAAGCUGAGACUUUAUCUAAGCCACAUUCUAACUCUGUCAGAGUAGCGGUUUACCUAGCCGUGUAUGUUCCAGUGAUUAUUGUGGCGUUUGCCCUGAUGGGCAUGCAUUCAGUCAUCUCUGACAAAGACGAACCUGCUAUCUUUUGCAGCACAACUUUCCAGGUUGGAGCAGCCUUUCUCAGCCUGGCUGGCCUUUGUAGUUUUUUGUUUGUCUAUCAGUCAUAUGUGAGCUGGCAAAACAUAACCAUUUGGUUCUAUAUCUAUUUGGGUGUGGUGAUGGAGCUGGCUAUCACAUCUGCACUGACCCAUGUGUCAGGUAAGCGACUGAGAUCACACUGGGAACGCAGCGAAAUGCUUAAGCUCAUCCCUGCUUAAAUGCAAACAUGAGCCACAGACUGUGCAGUUUAAAAAAGCGAUUAAUGUUAUGAUCAUAUCACAAAGACCUUUGAGUGGUCCGUAAAAGUAGAAAAGUGCUAUAUUAAUGCAAUUACACACGAAUCUGCUUUGGAGAAUAUGUUAAUUGCUGUCAUGAUGUAUUUAAUGAUAAGCUGUAUCCCUCAACAUGUUUAACGUGUCUUUUGGUGCUGUAAUAUCACUUUGUAUCACUUUAUCAAGUGGUUUAUGAAAGCCAAGACACAUAAUGUAUAACACAACAAAAAAUCUGUUGAGUCUGAAAUGUGCAGCUGGUGGAUGCGUGAGUGGUACCCUAAUUGUGCUGAUAGUUAUUUCUAUAUAAGCUAUAAGGAAUAAAGAAUAUAUUUAUUUUUCAAA